RNAcentral lists this ribosomal RNA (915 nucleotides) under uncultured archaeon. RNAcentral describes it as "bacterial SSU rRNA". It matches the Rfam family "Archaeal small subunit ribosomal RNA", at positions 1 to 922 of the family's 1478-position model. The record is from RNAcentral.
UUCCCGGUUGAUCCCGCCAGACCUGACUGCUAUCGGAUUGAUACUAAGCCAUGCGAGUCAUUGUAGCAAUACAAGGCAUACGGCUCAGUAACGCGUAGUCAACCUAACCUAUGGACGGGAAUAACCUCGGGAAACUGAGAAUAAUGCCCGAUAGAACAUUAUACCUGGAAUGGUUUAUGUUCCAAAUGAUUUAUCGCCGUAGGAUGGGACUGCGGCCUAUCAGUUUGUUGGUGAGGUAAUGGCCCACCAAGACUAUUACAGGUACGGGCUCUGAGAGGAGUAGCCCGGAGAUGGGUACUGAGACACGGACCCAGGCCCUAUGGGGCGCAGCAGGCGAGAAAACUUUGCAAUGUGCGAAAGCACGACAAGGUUAAUCCGAGUGAUUUCUGCUAAAGAAAUCUUUUGUUAGUCCUAGAAACACUAGCGAAUAAGGGGUGGGCAAGUUCUGGUGUCAGCCGCCGCGGUAAAACCAGCACCUCAAGUGGUCAGGAUGAUUAUUGGGCCUAAAGCAUCCGUAGCCGGCUCUGUAAGUUUUCGGUUAAAUCUGUACGCUCAACGUACAGGCCGCCGGGAAUGCUGCAAAGCUAGGGAGUGGGAGAAGUAGACGGUACUCGGUAGGAAGUGGUAAAAUGCUUUGAUCUAUCGAUGACCACCUGUGGCGAAGGCGGUCUGCUAGAACACGUCCGACGGUGAGGGAUGAAAGCUGGGGGAGCAAACCGGAUUAGAUACCCGGGUAGUCCCAGCUGUAAACUAUGCAAACUCAGUGAUGCAUUGGCUUGUGGCCAAUGCAGUGCUGCAGGGAAGCCGUUAAGUUUGCCGCCUGGGAAGUACGUACGCAAGUAUGAAACUUAAAGGAAUUGGCGGGGGAGCACCACAAGGGGUGAAGCCUGCGGUUCAAUUGGAUUCAACGCCGGG